ACUCCUACGGGAGGCAGCAGUGGGGAAUAUUGCACAAUGGGCGCAAGCCUGAUGCAGCCAUGCCGCGUGUGUGAAGAAGGCCUUCGGGUUGUAAAGCACUUUCAGUCGUGAGGAAGGUGGUAGUGUUAAUAGCACUAUCAUUUGACGUUAGCGACAGAAGAAGCACCGGCUAACUCCGUGCCAGCAGCCGCGGUAAUACGGAGGGUGCGAGCGUUAUCCGGAUUUAUUGGGUUUAAAGGGUCCGUAGGCGGAUUAAUAAGUCAGUGGUGAAAUCCCAUCGCUUAACGAUGGAACUGCCAUUGAUACUGUUAGUCUUGAAUGAGGGUGCAGUGGUUGGAAUGUGUAGUGUAGCGGUGAAAUGCAUAGAUAUUACACAGAACACCGAUUGCGAAGGCAGAUCACUAACCCUAAAUUGACGCUGAGGGACGAAAGCGUGGGGAGCGAACAGGAUUAGAUACCCUGUAGACUGUC
Molecule: ribosomal RNA, 471 nt
Filed under: uncultured bacterium
Lineage: Bacteria
Description: bacterial SSU rRNA
Rfam family: Bacterial small subunit ribosomal RNA
Source: RNAcentral